GACGAACGCUGGCGGCGUGCCUAAUACAUGCAAGUAGAACGCUGAAGGAGGAGCUUGCUUCUCUGGAUGAGUUGCGAACGGGUGAGUAACGCGUAGGUAACCUGCCUGGUAGCGGGGGAUAACUAUUGGAAACGAUAGCUAAUACCGCAUAAUAGCAGUUAUUGCAUGAUAACUGUUUGAAAGGUGCAAUUGCACCACUACCAGAUGGACCUGCGUUGUAUUAGCUAGUUGGUGGGGUAACGGCUCACCAAGGCGACGAUACAUAGCCGACCUGAGAGGGUGAGAGGCGACACUGGGACUGAGACAAGGCACAGAAUACUACGGGAGGCAGCAGUAGGGAAUCUUCGGCAAUUGACGGAAGUCUGAGCGAGCAAAGAAGAGUGAGUGAAGAAGGUGUUCGGAUCGUAAAGCUCUGUUGUAAGAGAAGAACGAGUGUGAGAGUGGAAAGUUCACAAUGUGGCGGUAUCUUACCAGAAAGGGACGGCUAACUACGUG
RNAcentral lists this ribosomal RNA (495 nucleotides) under uncultured bacterium. RNAcentral describes it as "partial 16S ribosomal RNA". It matches the Rfam family "Bacterial small subunit ribosomal RNA", at positions 28 to 507 of the family's 1533-position model. The record is from RNAcentral.